UGAGUAACCUGCCCUGGACUCUGGGAUAACCCCGAGAAAUCGGAGCUAAUACCGGAUAGGACCUGGAACCGCAUGGUUUGGGUGGAAAGUUUUUCGGUCUGGGAUGGACUCGCGGCCUAUCAGCUUGUUGGUGAGGUAAUGGCUCACCAAGGCGUCGACGGGUAGCCGGCCUGAGAGGGUGACCGGCCACACUGGGACUGAGAUACGGUCCAGACUCCUACGGGAGGCAG
This 230-nucleotide ribosomal RNA is filed under the name uncultured bacterium. Its description in RNAcentral is "partial 16S ribosomal RNA". It matches the Rfam family "Bacterial small subunit ribosomal RNA", at positions 118 to 351 of the family's 1533-position model. The record is from RNAcentral.